This 401-nucleotide ribosomal RNA is filed under the name uncultured bacterium. Its description in RNAcentral is "bacterial SSU rRNA". It matches the Rfam family "Bacterial small subunit ribosomal RNA", at positions 28 to 422 of the family's 1533-position model. The record is from RNAcentral.
AUUGAACGCUGGCGGCAUGCCUUACACAUGCAAGUCGAGCGGCAGCGCGGGGGCAACCCUGGCGGCGAGCGGCGCACGGGUGAGUAAUACAUCGGAACGUGUCCUUUCGUGGGGGAUAACCAGUCGAAAGACUGGCUAAUACCGCAUGAGAUCUCACGAUGAAAGCGGGGGACCCGAGGGUAACUUCGGGCCUCGCGCGAUUGGAGCGGCCGAUGUCGGAUUAGCUAGUUGGCGGGGUAAAAGCCCACCAAGGCGACGAUCCGUAGCUGGUUUGAGAGAACGACCAGCCACACUGGGACUGAGACACGGCCCAGACUCCUACGGGAGGCAGCAGUGGGAAUUUUGGACAAUGGGGGCAACCCUGAUCCAGCCAUGCCGCGUGUGUGAAGAAGGCCUCGGUG